RNAcentral lists this ribosomal RNA (238 nucleotides) under uncultured Candidatus Saccharibacteria bacterium. Its description in RNAcentral is "partial 16S ribosomal RNA". It matches the Rfam family "Bacterial small subunit ribosomal RNA", at positions 584 to 818 of the family's 1533-position model. The record is from RNAcentral. Lineage: Bacteria; Candidatus Saccharimonadota.
UAAGUUGAUGGUGAAAUCCUGGGGGCUCAACCCCUUACCCAUUAUCAAAACUGCCAAGCUUGAGGACAAGAGAGGUACCUGGAAUUCCUAGUGUAGGAGUGAAAUCCGUAGAUAUUAGGAGGAACACCGAUGGCGUAGGCAGGGUACUGGCUUGUUCCUGACACUAAGGCACGAAAGCGUGGGGAGCGAACGGGGAUUAGAUACCCCCGGUAGUCCACGCCGUAAACGAUGGAUGCUA